RNAcentral lists this unclassified non-coding RNA (21 nucleotides) under Dictyostelium discoideum. The record is from RNAcentral. Lineage: Eukaryota; Evosea; Eumycetozoa; Dictyosteliales; Dictyosteliaceae.
AGAAAUCAGUUAACUCAAGUG